UAGGGAAUAUUAGAAAUGGACGAAAGUCUGAUCUAGCAACACCGCGUGUGUGAAGAAGGCCUUUGGGUCGUAAAGCACUUUUUGGAAGGAAUAGGAAGGAAUGUACUUCCAGAAUAAGUCUCGGCUAACUACGUGCCAGCAGCCGCGGUAACACGUAGGAGGCAAACGUUAUCCGGAUUUACUGGGCGUAAAGCGCGUGUAGGUGGUACUGUAAGUAGGGCGUGAAAGCUCCUGGCUCAACUGGGAGAGGCCGUUCUAAACUACAGAACUAGAGGGUGGUAGAGGGAGGUGGAAUUCCAGGUGUAGCGGUGGAAUGCGCAGAUAUCUGGAGGAACACCGGUGGCGAAGGCGGCCUCCUGGACCAUUCCUGACACUCAGACGCGAAAGCUAGGGUAGCAAACGG
This 403-nucleotide ribosomal RNA is filed under the name uncultured bacterium. Its description in RNAcentral is "bacterial SSU rRNA". It matches the Rfam family "Bacterial small subunit ribosomal RNA", at positions 355 to 775 of the family's 1533-position model. The record is from RNAcentral.